GGCUUUAUAUUCAAUAAUGAUAUUAGACUGCAAUUCUAAAGGUGUAUUAAUUACUAAAGCCU
Molecule: transfer RNA, 62 nt
Filed under: Cardiodactylus muiri
Lineage: Eukaryota; Metazoa; Arthropoda; Insecta; Orthoptera; Gryllidae
Description: tRNA-Cys
Source: RNAcentral